UGGUUUGAGUGAUGGUAUUGUAACAAGAUGGACAAUUCGUCCUCUGGCCUCUACACCUGCAACAUUUCUUUUGCUCAUUUGGCCUGUAAGGUGGAUUUUGUACAGGGUAAAGUAUUGUACGUCGUGACAUUAGGUAUUGUGCUGACAUCUAUGGACAGGUAUAUAUAAUAUUACAACCUAAUUUAACAUUUGUCCACCCUGAGUAGUGUGCGUUAGUGUCUUUUUUUGGUGUGAAGUUUACUGUCUACAGUGCAUUGAAAAUUGUGACUAUUUAAAGUUUUUUCAAGAAGUUUCUUGUAUGAGAAUGUUUUCAUACAGUGUACAGUUCAAGGCAUGGGAGAAUGCCAUGAAGCAAGUUAGGUAGAAUAAGACAAAAAGUAGAUGCUGUGGCGAUAGAACGAGCCACACAAGACGUCAAGAACAAAAGGACAGCAGCAUGUGAUUUUGGAAUUUCAAGAACUACACUAAGCCAUUAUUUGAUGAAAUUCCAAGACCAUGAAAACUCUUUUGAGUACACAGCCAGAAAUGAUGUUAAAAAAGGUUUUAGUGCCACACAGGAACUUGAAUUGCCUGAGUAUUUAAAAGAAGCUGCAAGCAUUAUGGUUUCAUGAAUAAGGAAGCUCUCAAACUUGCUUUUCAACAUGGAAUAGCAAAUGGUGUAGUGCCAGAGAAUUGGGAAAACAAUGAAUCUGCUGGUAAUAUGGGGCUGAGGGGACUGAGGAAACAUCACAAGUCCUUGACUUUGAGAAAAACCCAAGGAUACUAGUCUCACUCAAGCUACAAGUUUUAAUCAUGAGAAUGUAAAAGCAUUUUUUGAAAAUUUAAAUGAACUUUUGUCAAGACACAAGUUCACUGCUAAUAAAAUCUAUAAUUUAGAUGAGACUGGCAAUUCUACUGUUCAUGUUCCCCCCCAAAAUUAUUUGUGCCAAGAGAAUCAAGCAACUGGGGAGUGUGACUUAGGGGAGAGGAGGAUAAAUGUUACAAUGAUUGUUGCUGUCAGUGCAAUUGGUAACCAUGUUCCUUCAAUGUAAAUAUUCCCAAGAGUGCAUUUCAAGGAUCACAUAUUAACUGGUGCUCCUACAGCUUCUAUUGAAAGUGCAAACCAAGCGGGUUGAUCAAAUGAGAAUCUCUUCGUUGACUAUGUGAAGAAUUUUUUUUCACAUGACAAACUUUGUAAGGAAGAUCCAACUUUAUUGGUUUUAGGUAAACAUGAGAUCCACAUAUCAAUUGGAGCUAUCAGUGUGGCAAAAGAAAAUGGGAUUGUCAUGCUGUCUUUGGUCCAUAAAACAUAUUACAAUCCUUGCCUUAAUGACUGGAUGUUCUCAAACCCAAGCAAACCUGUAACCAUUUACAAUGUCAUUUGGUAAGACAUUCACCAAAUGCAAUAUUGAAAAAGGGUUUAAUGUAACUGGGAUUCAUCCCUUAAGUGAAAGCAUUUUUGGUGAAGACGAAUUUAUGUCCUAUUUCACUGACAGACCCUACAGUCAGGUGACAGAAUCACACACUAUGGGGGUACAAGACAUAUGUCAACAGCGCACCAGAAGAGAUUACCCGAUUAUUAUAUUGAUUACUGAUUUGCACUUGCAGGCAUUUCAGGAUUAUUAAUACUGUAUCGUGUAUCUGUAACUUAUAAAUUGUAUCUAUAUUUAGUAAAUUCCUUUGCCUCUA
Molecule: long non-coding RNA, 1668 nt
Organism: Zootermopsis nevadensis
Lineage: Eukaryota; Metazoa; Arthropoda; Insecta; Blattodea; Termopsidae
Source: RefSeq, a predicted model, not a curated record